RNAcentral lists this transfer RNA (71 nucleotides) under Marmota monax (woodchuck). It matches the Rfam family "tRNA". From Rfam's summary of the family: Transfer RNA (tRNA) molecules are approximately 80 nucleotides in length. Their secondary structure includes four short double-helical elements and three loops (D, anti-codon, and T loops). Further hydrogen bonds mediate the characteristic L-shaped molecular structure. tRNAs have two regions of fundamental functional importance: the anti-codon, which is responsible for specific mRNA codon recognition, and the 3' end, to which the tRNAs corresponding amino acid is attached (by aminoacyl-tRNA synthetases). tRNAs cope with the degeneracy of the genetic code in two manners: having more than one tRNA (with a specific anti-codon) for a particular amino acid; and 'wobble' base-pairing, i.e. permitting non-standard base-pairing at the 3rd anti-codon position. The record is from Rfam by way of RNAcentral. Lineage: Eukaryota; Metazoa; Chordata; Mammalia; Rodentia; Sciuridae.
GGAGUUGUGGCUCAGUGGAGAGUGCUUGCCUGGCAUGUGUGAGGUCCUGAGUUUGAUCCUCAACACCUCAG